AUUGCCUUAGUUAACGGCGAGUGAACAGGCAAGAGCUCAGAUUUGAAAGGCACUUUUGUGCCGUUGUAUUAGAAGAGAGGGUCCUGAGAAACGAUGCUUAAGUCUUCUGGAAAGGAGCGCCAUGGAGGGUGAUAGCCCCGUCUAGCAUUGACCUCAUAUAGGAUCUUAACAUGGAGUCGAGUUGUUUGGGAAUGCAGCUCAAAUGGGUGGUAUGCUCCAUCUAAAGCUAAAUAUCUGCGAGAGACCGAUAGUAAACAAGUACUGUGAGGGAAAGAUGAAAAGAACUUUGAAAAGAGAGUGAAAAAGUACGUGAAAUUGUUGAAAUGGAAGGGUAGGCCGCUAACCAUGUAGAGCCGUGUUUGGGGGGAAGAUAAAUGCUGUAGAAUGUAGCUCCUCGGAGUAUUAUAGAUGCAGUUCAUAUUCCCACCCGAGCGCGAGGAUCUCAGGUUCUACUAAAUGGUGGUCUACCACCCGUCUUGAAACACGGACCA
RNAcentral lists this ribosomal RNA (491 nucleotides) under Starmerella bacillaris. RNAcentral describes it as "LSU rRNA". It matches the Rfam family "Eukaryotic large subunit ribosomal RNA", at positions 74 to 668 of the family's 3401-position model. The record is from RNAcentral. Lineage: Eukaryota; Fungi; Ascomycota; Dipodascomycetes; Dipodascales; Trichomonascaceae.